CGGAAUUCGAAUUUCAAGCAAUGGCGUUUGUUCCAUUGUUGGAAAUUUUCAGUUUUCUCUAUUAACAUGAAGCUGUUUUUGUGCUGCAGAACAAAAAGAAAAUUGUUAUACAGAUGGAUUCGGCUAUAAGAAGUGCAUUUCUCAGAAAGAGCCGCAAAAGUUUUUUGCUUCAGUUAGUGCAGGAGAGGAUAAGCCAUUUGAUUUCUUAGGCGCUUUAUAUGGUCGGUAUGGAAAUUGGAUUGAAUUGGGACCACAGGAGUUUAAAUUUAGUUUGUUAUAAAAUAGAAAUUUGUAUACUGAAAAUCUAGCUUAUACUGCAGUAAGUUUUCCUUAAUUUUGUUUGAAUUUCACAGAGGGCAUUGUAGCUGGAAGCACUGCAGGUGUUGUUGCAGAAGCGGCUUUGUAUCCACUUGAUACAAUAAAAACUAGGCUGCAGGCAAGUUGUCACUUUAUAUAAUGUUUUGCUCUAUUUGUUGCAGUAUGUUGCGGCCACAUUCUUGGAUUAUUUAUGAAUAGUUUGAACUUUAAAAGUAGAAUCUGAUAGAUACCCAUUUUUUUUCAUUAACUUUGUUAUGCGGUUAUAUGAGAUGUCAGUAUAUUUGGAUCAUGCCGCUCCUGGCUACAUGGAAAUAUGGACACUAGAGUGCAAUGAUUAUUUCUAUUGUCUCUGGUUUAUUGGUCUUAAUUCCAAAUUCUGUGGCAGCAUCACUAUUUGUCAAAAAUGUAAUAUUUCCUUACUUAGGGUCAUUGAAACACUCUUUAUUUUCAACUCUUGUUUUCUUUUUCUUUGGACUUGGGUUUAAGCAUAUGGAUGUUACAUUCUUUUGGCACCUUCUCUUGCAAUUCUUUUUUGGGCUGCCCAAGACUCCUUAUGAUGUUAAGUCUUUUAUUUUAUCUUCUGUACCUAAACAGAUUAACAUUAACAAUAUGUUCAAGAUAUAAAGACCUUAAAAUUAUCUCCUUUAUGUGUUAUUUCCUUUCUUUCAUAGUUAUGAGCUCAUUGCCUUCAUUAUUUGUACUAUUUUUUUUUUUGUUUGGCAUAUUUUGAGCAGGAUGUUUGAUAGACUUGAUAAAGUGGGUUUUCCAAAACUUUGGCGGAUUCUAUGUUAUCUCAAAGAAUUUGGGAGGUGACAAAGGAAAACAUUUAAAAAUCUGCUACUUCAACAGUGGCUUAGUGUAUUUGAAUUGAGAGAUGCUAGAAUUUUUUUAAGGACCAGUAUCUAUCUGUGCAUUGUGGGUGUGACUGACCUACUUGUUCAUACUCAAUAUAUAACACUUCUAUAAAAUUUUCAAAUUUAGUUACUAUAUUUGAUAGCUAUGGUUCUGGUGCUAGGCUGCUCAUGAUGGAGGAAAAAUUAUGUUCAAGGGUCUUUAUUCUGGAUUGGCUGGAAACCUUGCUGGUGCCUUUCCGGCUUCUGCUGUAUUUUUUGGUGUUUAUGAACCUGUGAAACAGAAAUUGCUAAAAACUUUGCCUGAAAACCUCAGCGCUUUUGCUCAUCUGGUAAGAUUCCUAAAUAACAUGCUUCAAGUUGCUAAACUAACUCUUAGGAAAAGUGUUUACUAAUCUGGGAUUAUCUGUCUUAUUUAGUCCAGUGUCAUUUUUUCUAGUUUACAUCUCUUUAAAAAUAAAACUUUCCCCGUAGGGCCUCACUGUCGCAUUGGCAUGUGUAAUUCACUUGUUACACACCCACUGAUAUCUGGCAUAAUCCCUUGUGUUUGCAACUAAACCAAGAGAAAAUUUGGCACAUUCUUUACUUUGACGUUCGAGUUUGCAAGUAAUGCAUCUUAUUUCUCUAAAAUAAAUAGAAUCUUGGGAUUUAAUCUAUUGGAUAGAGCCUAUCUUUUUUAUUAUAAUAGGUUUCAAGACUUUAUUCAGUCUGCAGGUGCCAUUGGAGGUGCCAUUUCUUCCCUUGUUCGUGUGCCGACAGAGGUUGUUAAGCAGAGAAUGCAAACCGGGCAAUUUACUUCAGCCCCUAAUGCUGUUCAUGUUAUUGUUGCUAAAGAGGGUUUUAAAGGUCUCUAUGCGGUAUGCUACACUUACUAAAUAUCUUAAGAUUUUUAUCUUGGAACUCCUGGAUUUAAUUUUGGUGUUCUAUAAUUUUCUGCCUUGCAAACUUUUCCCGAAGAAUAUGAUAACUGAUAAGUAUCUUAUUGUGAUUAGAAGAGUCUGAUGCUGUAAACUGGUUAUGGUAGGCAUCAUUUUGCUCACAAUGCUCAAGCAAUCUGCAAGUCAUUUGCGCGUCAUUGCUUUUUACUGCUGUUUGGCACAUAAUGCAUGUGAAUGUUAUUUGUCUUUAGUUUAUGAACUUGUUCUUGGUCUGUGUACCCUAUUUAUUCAUUUCUUUAAAACUGUAGGGAUAUGGAUCCUUCUUAUUGCGAGAUUUGCCUUUUGAUGCUAUCCAGUUCUGCCUCUAUGAGCAACUCCUAAUGGGAUAUAAGCUGGUGGUAAGCUUACUUUUGUCGUUGUUUGGCAUGUACAUGCAAAUUGUUCACUCUAGUCGGACUUUUCUUGAUUGAGAGAGUUGUGAGGAUUCUGAUCUAACUGAGAGCUAAGGGGUAUUGAAAUGUUGUACAUGAAGGUCUCGAUGGCUUGCUUCUACAUGUAUAGUUCAUUUGAUAGUUCUGUUGUUUGGGUAAUUAUUUCCUAAAUCACAUCAAUAAGAAGAAAAUGAAUCUCCUACAUCUGUUUUAAGCAAAUUUUGUGGUCUAUAGACUAUAAUUUGAUUAUGCAGAAAUAAGCAUUUAUUGCCUUUUUCUGCAGGCACGAAGAGAUCUGAAAGAUCAUGAGAUUGCUAUAAUUGGUGCUUUUGCUGGUGCAAUAACUGGAGCUCUAACUAAUCCCCUUGAUGUGGUAAAAACUAGAUUAAUGGUUCAGGGACCAGCAAACCAGUACAAAGGGAUUUUUGAUUGUGCCAGGACUAUUACUAAAGAAGAGGGAGUUCAUGCUCUUCUCAAGGUCUGUCCAUUCCCUGUGAUUCUAUCUACCUAUCAAAUACAGUUGUCAAAGAGUGGUAACCAUUAUAUUUUUUUUCUAUGCUUAUAUUAACAUAGCUUAGUUGUUCAAAUAUUAGGACCAAUUUCCAGCCAAUUAAGAGAGAUAGAAGGUUUAUGAACAGUAAUGUUGUUAAAUGUAUGUACUAUUAAAUUCUUUGAGAAUGUCAAUUUUAUGCUCUGAUUUCAGCAUUGAGCCCCAUCUUCUUGUUUCUGGCUUCUUACUUUUAUAUAGAGUAUCUAUGAUUCUGAUUCACAGCAAAAACAUAAAAAAAUAAAUGAAUAAUAAACAGAAACCUGCUUCUAUCUCCUAAUAGACCAUAAGGUACAAUUUAGAGGAAUUGAUUGUGUGAUAUUGUUUCUCUACGAACACCCUUUUGCUUGUCUGGGAUUUUGAAGUGCAACUCAUU
Molecule: unclassified non-coding RNA, 3401 nt
Filed under: Hevea brasiliensis (rubber tree)
Lineage: Eukaryota; Viridiplantae; Streptophyta; Magnoliopsida; Malpighiales; Euphorbiaceae
Source: RNAcentral